AUUUUAUACUGGUUCGCUUAUAACACAAAGCUACUCCAGUCCACCCGGCCAAGGUGAUUUCGCCUUCAACAAGGACUUAAUCCACUAAUCUUGAAAGAUUACAAACAACGUCUAAGAUAAAAAAUCUCUUAGCCCUCUCAAGUAUACAGACUACACAGAGUCACUUGAGGAAAUCAACAAACAAUAGAAGAAGGAUUUAUGUAAUCUAGAGUGCUUCUAA
This 220-nucleotide long non-coding RNA is filed under the name Lathyrus oleraceus (garden pea). Its description in RNAcentral is "Pisum sativum (pea) long non-coding RNA (PSAT_LNC015652)". Lineage: Eukaryota; Viridiplantae; Streptophyta; Magnoliopsida; Fabales; Fabaceae. The record is from RNAcentral.